UACGAAGGGUGCAAACGUUGCUCGGAAUUAUUGGGCGUAAAGCGCACGUAGGCGGCAAUUCAAGUCACUUGUGAAAUCUCCGGGCUUAACUCGGAACGGUCAAGUGAUACUGCUUUGCUAGAGUGCGGAAGGGGCAAUCGGAAUUCUCGGUGUAGCGGUGAAAUGCGUAGAUAUCGAGAGGAACACCAGUGGCGAAGGCGACUUCCUGGCCUGUUCUUGACGCUGAGGCGCGAAAGCUAGGGUAGCAAACAGG
RNAcentral lists this ribosomal RNA (253 nucleotides) under uncultured bacterium. RNAcentral describes it as "partial 16S ribosomal RNA". It matches the Rfam family "Bacterial small subunit ribosomal RNA", at positions 524 to 776 of the family's 1533-position model. The record is from RNAcentral.